RNAcentral lists this ribosomal RNA (591 nucleotides) under Oncerotrachelus sp. JZ-2016. RNAcentral describes it as "eukaryotic LSU rRNA". It matches the Rfam family "Eukaryotic large subunit ribosomal RNA", at positions 653 to 1157 of the family's 3401-position model. Lineage: Eukaryota; Metazoa; Arthropoda; Insecta; Hemiptera; Reduviidae. The record is from RNAcentral.
CUUGAAACACGGACCAAGGAGUUUAACGUGUACGCAAGUCAUUGGGCAAACUAAACCCAAAGGCGAAAUGAAAGUAAAGAGUAGAAAAUUGUGGUAGAAUUUAAUUCUAUUUCACAAUUUCUCUCAAGGGAAGAUGGAAAUGUAUUAAAUUUAUUUAUAAAUUUAAUACAUUUCCCGCAUUCCCGGGGCGCUUGCUUCUCGCUUUGCGAGUUUAAGCGCACCUAGAGCGUACACGCUGAUACCCGAAAGAUGGUGAACUAUGCCUGGCCAGGACGAAGCCAGGGGAAACCCUGGUGGAGGUCCGCAGCGAUUCUGACGUGCAAAUCGAUCGUCGGAGCUGGGUAUAGGGGCGAAAGACCAAUCGAACCAUCUAGUAGCUGGUUCCCUCUGAAGUUUCCCUCAGGAUAGCUUGCGCUCGGUUGAAACGAGUCUCAUCCGGUAGAGCGAAUGAUUAGAGGCAUUGGGGUCGAAACGACCUCAACCUAUUCUCAAACUCCAAAUAGAUGAGAACCCCGGCUUUCUUAAAAGUGAAGCCGUGGGAUUCGGAUCAGAGUGCCAAGUGGGCCAAUUUUGGUAAGCAGAACUGGCGCU